AACUGCUUUUACUGCUUCUGUGUGCUCUGCACUUAGGAAGAUUAUGAAGCAGAUCCUGCUGGAAGCUAUGAUAAGGCACAUGGAAGAAAGGGAAGUGAUACAGAUAACGACCAUGGCUUCACCAGUUUACAGACGAAUUGUGGGUUAAAGUCAGACCCUUGAAUUCAGCAGAAAGUUAACUGAACUAGACAAAUGGAUAAAGCAAGAAGCGCAAAUUCCUGCCCUCAGG
Molecule: long non-coding RNA, 229 nt
Organism: Numida meleagris (helmeted guineafowl)
Lineage: Eukaryota; Metazoa; Chordata; Aves; Galliformes; Numididae
Exons: 3
Source: RefSeq, a predicted model, not a curated record